UGCAGUCGAGCGGACAGAAGGGAGCUUGCUCCCGGAUGUUAGCGGCGGACGGGUGAGUAACACGUGGGUAACCUGCCUGUAAGACUGGGAUAACUCCGGGAAACCGGAGCUAAUACCGGAUAGUUCCUUGAACCGCAUGGUUCAAGGAUGAAAGACGGUUUCGGCUGUCACUUACAGAUGGACCCGCGGCGCAUUAGCUAGUUGGUGAGGUAACGGCUCACCAAGGCGACGAUGCGUAGCCGACCUGAGAGGGUGAUCGGCCACACUGGGACUGAGACACGGCCCAGACUCCUACGGGAGGCAGCAGUAGGGAAUCUUCCGCAAUGGACGAAAGUCUGACGGAGCAACGCCGCGUGAGUGAUGAAGGUUUUCGGAUCGUAAAGCUCUGUUGUUAGGGAAGAACAAGUGCAAGAGUAACUGCUUGCACCUUGACGGUACCUAACCAGAAAGCCACGGCUAACUACGUGCCAGC
Molecule: ribosomal RNA, 472 nt
Filed under: Bacillus aerius
Lineage: Bacteria; Bacillati; Bacillota; Bacilli; Caryophanales; Bacillaceae
Description: bacterial SSU rRNA
Rfam family: Bacterial small subunit ribosomal RNA
Source: RNAcentral